This 533-nucleotide ribosomal RNA is filed under the name Scarus quoyi (Quoy's parrotfish). Its description in RNAcentral is "partial large subunit ribosomal RNA". It matches the Rfam family "Bacterial large subunit ribosomal RNA", at positions 1912 to 2595 of the family's 2925-position model. Lineage: Eukaryota; Metazoa; Chordata; Actinopteri; Labriformes; Labridae. The record is from RNAcentral.
GUGACUAUACGUUUAACGGCCGCGGUAUUUUGACCGUGCGAAGGUAGCGCAAUCACUUGUCUUUUAAAUGGAGACCUGUAUGAAUGGCACGACGAGGGCUUAACUGUCUCCUUCCCCAAGUCAAUGAAAUUGAUCUCUCCGUGCAGAAGCGGGGAUAGGCCCAUAAGACGAGAAGACCCUAUGGAGCUUUAGACACUAAAACAGCCCAUGUUAAAAACCCUCACAAAAGAGACUAAACUAGAUGGUCCCUGUCCUAAUGUCUUUGGUUGGGGCGACCACGGGGUAACAAAAAACCCCCGCGCGGAACAGAAACACUGUUUCCAGAACCAAGAGCACCCGCUCUAAGUAACAAGACCCACUUGACCUUUGAGAUCCGGCAUUAGCCGAUCAACGGACCGAGUUACCCUAGGGAUAACAGCGCAAUCUUCUUCGAGAGUUCAUAUCGACGAGAAGGUUUACGACCUCGAUGUUGGAUCAGGACAUCCUAAUGGUGCAGCCGCUAUUAAGGGUUCGUUUGUUCAACGAUUAAAGUC